UACAGAGGUCUCAAGCGUUGUUCGGAUUCAUUGGGCGUAAAGGGUGCGUAGGCGGCGGGGUAAGUCAGGUGUGAAAUCUCGGGGCUCAACCCCGAAACUGCACUUGAUACUGCCUCGCUUGAGUACUGGAGAGGAGACUGGAAUUUACGGUGUAGCAGUGAAAUGCGCAGAUAUCGGGAAGAACACCCGUGGCGAAGGCGGUUCUCUGGGACGGUACUGACGCUGAGACGCGAAAGCGUGGGGAGCGAACAGG
This 253-nucleotide ribosomal RNA is filed under the name uncultured bacterium. Its description in RNAcentral is "partial 16S ribosomal RNA". It matches the Rfam family "Bacterial small subunit ribosomal RNA", at positions 524 to 776 of the family's 1533-position model. The record is from RNAcentral.